Molecule: ribosomal RNA, 615 nt
Filed under: unidentified archaeon
Lineage: Archaea
Description: partial 16S ribosomal RNA
Source: RNAcentral
UGGGUCUCGCUCGUUGCCUGACUUAACAGGAUGCUUCACAGUACGAACUGGCGACGGCCAUGCACCUCCUCUCAGCGAUUCAGGCAAGGUCUUCAGCCUGGCCUACAUUUUGCUGUCGUCCCCGGUGAGUUGUCCGGCGUUGAGUCCAAUUAAACCGCAGGCUCCACCCGUUGUUGUGCUCCCCCGCCAAUUCCUUUAAGUUUCAGCCUUGCGGCCGUACUUCCCAGGUGGCUCGCUUCACGGCUUCCCUGCGGCACCAGACACGGUCGCGCCAUGCCUGACACCUAGCGAGCAUCGUUUACGGCUAGGACUACCCGGGUAUCUAAUCCGGUCCGUGCCCCCAGCUUUCGUCCCUCACCGUCAGAACCCGUUCUGGUAAGACGCCUUCGCCACAGGUGGUCCUUCACAGGGAUUACAAGAUUUCACCCCUACCCCUGAAGUACCUCUCACCUCUCCCGGCCUCCAAGCCAGACAGUAUCCCCCGAAAGCCUAACAGUUAAGCUACCAGAUUUCCCAAGAGGACUGAUCCAAACCGGCUACAGACCCUUUAGACCCAAUAAUAACGGUUACCACUCGAGCCGCCGGUGUUACCGCGGCGGCUGGCACCGGUCUUGC